RNAcentral lists this ribosomal RNA (504 nucleotides) under uncultured bacterium. Its description in RNAcentral is "bacterial SSU rRNA". It matches the Rfam family "Bacterial small subunit ribosomal RNA", at positions 107 to 607 of the family's 1533-position model. The record is from RNAcentral.
UGAGUAAUGUCUGGGAAACUGCCUGAUGGAGGGGGAUAACUAUUGGAAACGGUAGCUAAUACCGCAUAACGUCUUCGGACCAAAGUGGGGGACCUUCGGGCCUCAUGCCAUCAGAUGUGCCCAGAUGGGAUUAGCUAGUAGGUGGGGUAACGGCUCACCUAGGCGACGAUCCCUAGCUGGUCUGAGAGGAUGACCAGCCACACUGGAACUGAGACACGGUCCAGACUCCUACGGGAGGCAGCAGUGGGGAAUAUUGCACAAUGGGCGCAAGCCUGAUGCAGCCAUGCCGCGUGUAUGAAGAAGGCCUUCGGGUUGUAAAGUACUUUCAGUGGGGAGGAAGGCGUUAAGGUUAAUAACCUUGACGAUUGACGUUACCCGCAGAAGAAGCACCGGCUAACUCCGUGCCAGCAGCCGCGGUAAUACGGAGGGUGCAAGCGUUAAUCGGAAUUACUGGGCGUAAAGCGCACGCAGGCGGUCUGUCAAGUCGGAUGUGAAAUCCCCGGG